UACGAAGGGGGCUAGCGUUGCUCGGAAUCACUGGGCGUAAAGGGUGCGUAGGCGGGUCUUUAAGUCAGGGGUGAAAUCCUGGAGCUCAACUCCAGAACUGCCUUUGAUACUGAGGAUCUUGAGUUCGGGAGAGGUGAGUGGAACUGCGAGUGUAGAGGUGAAAUUCGUAGAUAUUCGCAAGAACACCAGUGGCGAAGGCGGCCAGCUGGCUCUGACCUGACGCUGAGGCGCGAAGGCGUGGGGAGCGAACGGG
This 253-nucleotide ribosomal RNA is filed under the name uncultured bacterium. RNAcentral describes it as "partial 16S ribosomal RNA". It matches the Rfam family "Bacterial small subunit ribosomal RNA", at positions 524 to 776 of the family's 1533-position model. The record is from RNAcentral.